This 1236-nucleotide long non-coding RNA is filed under the name Homo sapiens (human). RNAcentral's name for it is "HSALNT0142519". The record is from RNAcentral. Lineage: Eukaryota; Metazoa; Chordata; Mammalia; Primates; Hominidae.
GAUCUUCUUUAGGCCAUAGCCAGCUUCAUGUGGUUGGUAGCUCAGAGAAUACAUACAGUAGGCAGAGAGAUACAUUGAUGGGAGGCAGUAAAAGGGAUGAGUUGCAGCAGCGUUUGGAGCUCUGGUUUUACUUCUAGCCUUACUCCAAACCCAUCCUCUCUGCAGUGUAGUAUGUGAAACGACUGCUUUCUCUUUUUCCUUAUGUUAAUAUAAGUUGGUUUUAUUUGAACACUAUAGAGUUAUGACUUGGUAGAAUAAAAUUAAGGUUAACGUUGAGACCCUCCAAAACUUUCUUCUAUGAAUAUAGCUGUAUAAAUACGAUGCUUCUCAACUUAUGGAGGGGUUAUGUCCUGAUAAACCCAUUGUAAGUUGAAAGUGUUGUAAGCAGAAAAUGUAUUUAAUACGCCUAACCUACCAAACAUCUUGGCUUAGCCUAGCCUAACUUAACAUUCUCAGAACACUUAAAUUAGCAUACAGCUGGGCAAAAUCAUCUAACACAAAGCCUAUUUUUAAUAACGUGUUGGAUAUCUUAUGUAACUUAUUGAAUAUUUGACUGGAAAGGAAAAACCGUGAUUCUAUGGGUACUCAAAGUAUGGUUUCCCCUGAAUGUGUCUUGCUUUUGCACCAUCAUAAAGUUGAAAAAUAGUUAAGUGGAACUAUCAUAAAUCUGGGACUGUCUUUCUACAUUUUUUUGGGUCUAAAUAGUGUCACACUGUUAGCUCACAGCAAAGAAGAGGCCAACUAACAUCCCAGACAUUUUUCAAAUAAAUUGCUGUCAAGUAAUAACGCGGCCUUUUUGCAAUGGGCAUUUAAUUCUUUCAACUAAAUGCAAGAUUUUAUCUUUAUCUUUCUUAAAUUCCAUCUUCUUAGUUAUGGCCCAGUAUUCUCACUUAUGAAAAGUUUGAACACUGAUUUUUGUCAUUUAUCAUAACAUCUCUCCCUUCUGAGUUUGUGUCAUCUACAAAUUUGAUAUACAUGUGUUUUAUAUUUUCAUUCAUGUCUACAAGUUAUACAUGUUUAUAAUGUUCAAAAAAAUGAGUGUUUUUGAUCUUGCAAUUUCCCUUCUAGGCAUGUGUCAUUUCACAUCUGCAUAAAAAGACAUGCUGAAGGAUGUUCCUUGCAGAAUGGUUAUAGAGAAAAAUGGGAAUAACCACGAUAUAAAGUAACAGGAUUUCAACAGUGAAGGAGACCUGAGAAACCAUAAAAUCAAUCUCUCAAAUUGAAGUUGAAAAAAGC